UUAAGCGACUAAGCGUACACGGUGGAUGCCCUGGCAGUCAGAGGCGAUGAAGGACGUGCUAAUCUGCGAUAAGCGUCGGUAAGGUGAUAUGAACCGUUAUAACCGGCGAUUUCCGAAUGGGGAAACCCAGUGUGUUUCGACACACUAUCAUUAACUGAAUCCAUAGGUUAAUGAGGCGAACCGGGGGAACUGAAACAUCUAAGUACCCCGAGGAAAAGAAAUCAACCGAGAUUCCCCCAGUAGCGGCGAGCGAACGGGGAGCAGCCCAGAGCCUGAAUCAGUGUGUGUGUUAGUGGAAGCGUCUGGAAAGGCGCGCGAUACAGGGUGACAGCCCCGUACACAAAAAUGCACAUGCUGUGAGCUCGAUGAGUAGGGCGGGACACGUGGUAUCCUGUCUGAAUAUGGGGGGACCAUCCUCCAAGGCUAAAUACUCCUGACUGACCGAUAGUGAACCAGUACCGUGAGGGAAAGGCGAAAAGAACCCCGGCGAGGGGAGUGAAAAAGAACCUGAAACCGUGUACGUACAAGCAGUGGGAGCCUCUUUAUGGGGUGACUGCGUACCUUUUGUAUAAUGGGUCAGCGACUUAUAUUCUGUAGCAAGGUUAACCGAAUAGGGGAGCCGAAGGGAAACCGAGUCUUAACUGGGCGUUAAGUUGCAGGGUAUAGACCCGAAACCCGGUGAUCUAGCCAUGGGCAGGUUGAAGGUUGGGUAACACUAACUGGAGGACCGAACCGACUAAUGUUGAAAAAUUAGCGGAUGACUUGUGGCUGGGGGUGAAAGGCCAAUCAAACCGGGAGAUAGCUGGUUCUCCCCGAAAGCUAUUUAGGUAGCGCCUCGUGAAUUCAUCUCCGGGGGUAGAGCACUGUUUCGGCAAGGGGGUCAUCCCGACUUACCAACCCGAUGCAAACUGCGAAUACCGGAGAAUGUUAUCACGGGAGACACACGGCGGGUGCUAACGUCCGUCGUGAAGAGGGAAACAACCCAGACCGCCAGCUAAGGUCCCAAAGUCAUGGUUAAGUGGGAAACGAUGUGGGAAGGCCCAGACAGCCAGGAUGUUGGCUUAGAAGCAGCCAUCAUUUAAAGAAAGCGUAAUAGCUCACUGGUCGAGUCGGCCUGCGCGGAAGAUGUAACGGGGCUAAACCAUGCACCGAAGCUGCGGCAGCGACGCUGAUGCGUUGUUGGGUAGGGGAGCGUUCUGUAAGCCUGUGAAGGUGUGCUGUGAGGCAUGCUGGAGGUAUCAGAAGUGCGAAUGCUGACAUAAGUAACGAUAAAGCGGGUGAAAAGCCCGCUCGCCGGAAGACCAAGGGUUCCUGUCCAACGUUAAUCGGGGCAGGGUGAGUCGACCCCUAAGGCGAGGCCGAAAGGCGUAGUCGAUGGGAAACAGGUUAAUAUUCCUGUACUUGGUGUUACUGCGAAGGGGGGACGGAGAAGGCUAUGUUGGCCGGGCGACGGUUGUCCCGGUUUAAGCGUGUAGGCUGGUUUUCCAGGCAAAUCCGGAAAAUCAAGGCUGAGGCGUGAUGACGAGGCACUACGGUGCUGAAGCAACAAAUGCCCUGCUUCCAGGAAAAGCCUCUAAGCAUCAGGUAACAUCAAAUCGUACCCCAAACCGACACAGGUGGUCAGGUAGAGAAUACCAAGGCGCUUGAGAGAACUCGGGUGAAGGAACUAGGCAAAAUGGUGCCGUAACUUCGGGAGAAGGCACGCUGAUAUGUAGGUGAAGCGACUUGCUCGUGGAGCUGAAAUCAGUCGAAGAUACCAGCUGGCUGCAACUGUUUAUUAAAAACACAGCACUGUGCAAACACGAAAGUGGACGUAUACGGUGUGACGCCUGCCCGGUGCCGGAAGGUUAAUUGAUGGGGUUAGCGCAAGCGAAGCUCUUGAUCGAAGCCCCGGUAAACGGCGGCCGUAACUAUAACGGUCCUAAGGUAGCGAAAUUCCUUGUCGGGUAAGUUCCGACCUGCACGAAUGGCGUAAUGAUGGCCAGGCUGUCUCCACCCGAGACUCAGUGAAAUUGAACUCGCUGUGAAGAUGCAGUGUACCCGCGGCAAGACGGAAAGACCCCGUGAACCUUUACUAUAGCUUGACACUGAACAUUGAGCCUUGAUGUGUAGGAUAGGUGGGAGGCUUAGAAGUGUGGACGCCAGUCUGCAUGGAGCCGACCUUGAAAUACCACCCUUUAAUGUUUGAUGUUCUAACGUUGACCCGUAAUCCGGGUUGCGGACAGUGUCUGGUGGGUAGUUUGACUGGGGCGGUCUCCUCCUAAAGAGUAACGGAGGAGCACGAAGGUUGGCUAAUCCUGGUCGGACAUCAGGAGGUUAGUGCAAUGGCAUAAGCCAGCUUGACUGCGAGCGUGACGGCGCGAGCAGGUGCGAAAGCAGGUCAUAGUGAUCCGGUGGUUCUGAAUGGAAGGGCCAUCGCUCAACGGAUAAAAGGUACUCCGGGGAUAACAGGCUGAUACCGCCCAAGAGUUCAUAUCGACGGCGGUGUUUGGCACCUCGAUGUCGGCUCAUCACAUCCUGGGGCUGAAGUAGGUCCCAAGGGUAUGGCUGUUCGCCAUUUAAAGUGGUACGCGAGCUGGGUUUAGAACGUCGUGAGACAGUUCGGUCCCUAUCUGCCGUGGGCGCUGGAGAACUGAGGGGGGCUGCUCCUAGUACGAGAGGACCGGAGUGGACGCAUCACUGGUGUUCGGGUUGUCAUGCCAAUGGCACUGCCCGGUAGCUAAAUGCGGAAGAGAUAAGUGCUGAAAGCAUCUAAGCACGAAACUUGCCCCGAGAUGAGUUCUCCCUGACCCUUUAAGGGUCCUGAAGGAACGUUGAAGACGACGACGUUGAUAGGCCGGGUGUGUAAGCGCAGCGAUGCGUUGAGCUAACCGGUACUAAUGAACCGUGAGGCUUAACCUU
Molecule: ribosomal RNA, 2901 nt
Filed under: Escherichia coli KTE233
Lineage: Bacteria; Pseudomonadati; Pseudomonadota; Gammaproteobacteria; Enterobacterales; Enterobacteriaceae
Description: bacterial LSU rRNA
Rfam family: Bacterial large subunit ribosomal RNA
Source: RNAcentral